AGAGGCAUGAACCGUAACAGGAACAUGGCUCUCUCCUUUGUUUUUGCANCAUUCCGAACAGAGCAGUUAAGCCCGAUCACGCCGAUGGUACUAUGCAAAUGGGAGAGUAGGUAGCCGCCACUU
RNAcentral lists this ribosomal RNA (123 nucleotides) under Porphyromonas canoris. Lineage: Bacteria; Pseudomonadati; Bacteroidota; Bacteroidia; Bacteroidales; Porphyromonadaceae. The record is from RNAcentral.